Molecule: long non-coding RNA, 273 nt
Organism: Hemiscyllium ocellatum (epaulette shark)
Lineage: Eukaryota; Metazoa; Chordata; Chondrichthyes; Orectolobiformes; Hemiscylliidae
Exons: 3
Source: RefSeq, a predicted model, not a curated record
GUACAUGAAUACCACCACAUCAACUGCCAAUAUGUUAUGAGGCUUUGGUAACAAUCUGGAGUCUCCAGGGAGCUCUGCAGCAGUUCAAAAACUAAAGGUGGAAACUGUCCCUGCUCUUGCUGAUGGUGUACCACCCAAUUAAAGAUGGCAAGCAGGACCAGUCGUGGAUGAGUUGUGAUUGCUGACAUCAGAACCACAUGAGACAUCAGAGGAGAUUCGCCUAUCUGAGGAGAUAGUUUCACAUCAGUGUCAAUGUGAAACACAAACACAUGA